UGAUGUGGCUUCCUAUGACCCAAUGAUAUAGAUCUUCCCAGACUCCCAUGAAAGGUUUCCCAAGCUUUCCAAACGCUUGCCGUCCAUCGUGGUUGAGCCCACUGAGAGCGGGGAGGUAGAGAGCGGGGAACUCCGCUGGCCUCCUGAUGAUCUGAGCCCUACAGAUGACCCCAGAGACAAACAGGCACAGGCUGCAAGUGACAAGCUCACAGAAGACAGCAAAGACGUCGGACCGGGGACGGAAAUCUAAGAGGCAAUGGUUGGCACUACUCCAGCCAAUCACUGUGAAUGUCUUCAUUACGGACAGGAGUGAGUGGGAGACUCCACCAGUUAGGUCUGCCUUUCAUCCACACUAGAGCCGCUCACCUGUUGACCUCCACUCCCCUAGGUGGAGCCGAGGCCUGAGAGACUUCUUAACUGAACUAGCUCAUGUGCCAAACUCUAGUGGUAGUCAGCUGCAGUGAUUGAGUUUUAAAUGAUCUCCAAUAACAACACCAUGAUACCUGUUAGAAGUCACCUACCCCCUAUCCCUGCUAAAUUAUAGAUUAGCAUAUAUUUAUUUAUUUGAUUUGGACCAAAGUCUUUCAUUCCUUCCUAUACAAAGGAUCUUUAUUUGAUGUUUAUCAGCAUACUUUAAGUGAAAAUGGAUUUCAAAUGUGAAUUAACUAUUCCAUAAUGGCUACUUUGCCUACUCAAUGUGCAGUAGAUCUCUGUGUGUUUACACAUACAAACAAUAUAGUAUGGUUUCCUUUUUAACACACUUUCCAGAUAUACACGUUUGCACAUAUUCUUUGCCAUUCUCUGCUGCUUAUUUACAAGUGUUCGUCAGAGCUGCUGUAAAUGUAGCUUUCUUUGCCUUAGACAUUAUAAUUUUAAUGUCAAAUCAAUUCUGUUUGUAUGUAUAUAUUUGUACCCUCAUUAUUUUCCUCAUUAUAUGUAUGUGUUACUUUCCUUAGGCGAAACUCUUUGGUGCUUCAGAGUCUGUUAAUCACUGUAUUCUAUUAAAAAUCUACUGCUAU
This is a non-coding RNA of Pimephales promelas (fathead minnow), 1019 nucleotides long. Lineage: Eukaryota; Metazoa; Chordata; Actinopteri; Cypriniformes; Leuciscidae. The record is from RefSeq and is a predicted model, not a curated record.